This is an RNA transcript of Drosophila miranda, 4007 nucleotides long. It is a transcript of the gene named myosin heavy chain, non-muscle-like, with no coding region annotated. NCBI's taxonomy places the organism in Eukaryota, Metazoa, Arthropoda, Insecta, Diptera, Drosophilidae. The record is from RefSeq and is a predicted model, not a curated record. The transcript is spliced from 4 exons.
AAUACGUGCAUUUCGGUGAAAAUUGAGUUGAAUUUGCACAAAUGCAGUGCUGAAAAAGUGAAACGAGAGAAUAAAAAACAAUAUUAAUGUGCAAAAUAUGCGGAAAACUGCUUUGAAAUGUGGAGAGCGCAGAACAGCGGUACACAAAAGAAGGAAAGAGAGAAGGGAGAAAAGGAAUGGAAUGAUGGCCGCUUAUACCUGCUCUGCUUCGAAAAAGAAACCGAAACCAGCCACCAAAAAUGUUUGAAACUGUUCUCGCCGCCUCCGUUUGUGCCGCUCUUCUAAGAUAAAGAGCGCGCGACUCGAGAUAAAUGCGAAAAAUAUUGUAUCUCAAUGGCCGCGGUGUUUCCGAUGUGAAAAUUAAACGAAACCGUAUUCAUUAUUUUGUGUUUGUUCUGCUCAACAGAAAAGUGUGUAUUAAAAAACCUCAAUAGCCCCCACAUUACGACGAGAAAACUCAAACGCCAAAACCAUAGUUGAAUUGAGUGAGAAUAAUAUAUAUAUAUAUAUAGAGAGAGAGAGUAAAUACACCGCUACAAUGUCGGAAGAAGUAGAUCGCAACGAUCCCGAGCUGAAAUACCUUUCGGUGGAACGGAACCAAUACAAUGAUCCGGCCACACAGGCGGAAUGGACACAGAAGCGCCUGGUCUGGGUGCCCCACGAGAAUCAGCAGAGACUAAAUUUUUGGCUGGGAUGACAAACAUUUUCUCAAUUCUAUAAUAUCCUUUCCUAGGGUAUGCAUUGUUGCUUGCAUUUUUCCGCAACAUGGAACGCGAUUAUUGCUUUCCGCCAAUGAAAAUUAUGGCAGGAAACGGCUGCGACAGAAUGUCAGGAUGCGUCGUGCUAAUAUUCCCCAAUAAUUGGUAAUAUUCACCCUAAGUCGAUGUCCAAAUAUAGUAAUUUAAGAACAUAAUUUAAAAGUAUGGAAUGGGACUCAUUGUUGUCAACCGGUUAUUACCGAUUCAAAUAAAUACUGAAAUAUACGGUAUUAUUUUCAAAAUAUACCGACGUAUUUUUGAUAUUCUGGCGAAUAUUACUAGCUAAAUAGAACCCUCAGGCCUGCCCACAUAAUUUUAUCCGACUAAUGAAUCAAUUUUCUACUCGACUGGUUUAUUUUAAAUACUUGCUUUUAUUUGAUUUUGCCCAAAGGUCAAACAAAUAAAACGUAAGAGAUUAUCUAUAUAAUGUGUUUGUACAAAAAUUGUGUGUACACACUUGCAACCAUGGUCGAUCUAUCGGCCUAGCCCGCCAGAUUCGAAUCUAUCCUUCUUCUUUCUAAUCUGUGCGCCCAAAAGUACGCUGACCGCAAUUGCCAAAACUAUGCAUCGUGGUAUAGCCGCUCUAUAUAACGAAUGACCCUUUUAUAUCUUUAUUAUCAUAUUGCUGAUUUUGCAUUGCUUUAUAUGAAUAUAAAACUUGAUCAAAAUGGAAAGACAUGAUGCGAGAUGUGGAUGCGAUGCGAAGUAAAGCAACUAAAAUUUUGUUGUAAUGAUUAGCUCAGUACGAUGAGAAGGUAGGUCGGCGGAACGUGUAUAUACGUUUCACAAGAAAAGUCACACGUGCAAAAAGAUUGACACACAACUCUAUUUAACUUUUGACAGAUGUCAGAAACAAUCCCAAAUAAGACACCUGCGUUCGUGGAAAAAGCUAUCACCACUAGGUGAAAAAAGGUUAUUGUGCUAAAACAGCUCCAAAAUGAAAACUACGAAGUGCACGAUAUCUACAACCUGGGAAUGGGUAGAAAGUAGGGUCAAUAUUCCAUUCUAUUUUUUCCAGACCGUUUUCCACCGUCUACUUCGUCAGUUCGCCCUCGUCUGAACCGUCAGCUAGUGUUGGCUCGGUGCAGAUUAUAAAUGUUUAUAGAAUUUUAAUAAAAAAAUUGAAUAUUUUGUUGAAUAAAAUAAAGAUAAAAAAGAAAUAGCAAGAGAGAAAUAAGAAGCAAAGGAGGCGAAGGAGAAUUGAUUCAAUAAAAAAAAGGUACAGAGGAAGUGCACCAGACCACCGACUGUUUCGUCUACAAUCCGGCCUGUUGCCUCGACGCCUAUCCGGCUUCUGAAUGCUGCGAUGCCGAAAUUAAUAAAUGCAGUUGCUGAUUUACUAUGUAUAUAACAAGGUCGAAAUAAUUAUAGUCAUAAAAUCAAAAUCAAAAUCAACAGAAAUAAAAUGUAAAAACAUUUUGUUUAGCUUUAUAACAUUGUUAUUUAAAAAAAAGCGCCGAUAAGUUGCGCUUAUCGCACAAAAGGAGGGAUUUUUCAUCGCAACACUGUCCAUUUCAUUACGUUUUAUUUCUGACCUUCUUUGCUCAAACCUUAUUUUAGGCACAAUAAAAUUAAAUUAAGCAUUUAAAGCUAGCUAAUCUUCUAGAAAAUUUAUUCAUCUAUCGGAUAAAAUUAUGUUUUGAGGACUGAAGGUCUUAGCUAAUCUUAAGUCGAAUUAAGUCAGCAUGAUUCGUGAUUAAAUAUAUUUAUAGCACUUUAGGUGAAAAAUAUCGUGGUCUUUUUUUAUAUAAAGAUGAAGAACCUGCAAGAGUAAAUAUUAUUUUUUGUCUAGUUCAAGUUAUUAUCAGUUUAAAUAAAGGGGGUUUAAGUGGGCUAAGUACGUUUUUUUAUCAGACGGUCAGACUUCUGCUCUCUUCUGAAACGAAAAAAUGAGUCGUUAUUUUUUAAUGGGCCUUAAAAACGGGUAUGGACAACAAACAAAAACAGCCAAGGCAAAUUGCAAGGUUCGUACGAACCUUACCUCGGCGUUGUUGACAAACAAUAUACCUUGAAGUCAAAAGGGUGACUUUAUCCUUUUAUCCUCUUUUUUCUCGUUUUUAUAAGCAAAAAUUCCAUGUAGGUAACAAAAGGGGUUGAUGAAUUAUUCGUCUAAUAAUUUUAAUGUGUCAUAUUGAUAAAUCGUUCACUCUUUCUUGCGACGAAAAAUUGAGUCGUAAUUUAAAAUGGGCUAUAAAAAAGGGUAAGGACAAGGGGCAAAAACAGCCAAGACAAAUGUCGAGGUUCGCGUGUGAUGAAAAUAUUAAGCAAAAGUGGAUUUCAGCUUGCAUGCGGUUGCAUUUUCAGGGCCGUUUUGCCUGCUGCUCAUACCCUUUUUUUUCUUCCAUUAUGUGUAUAUAUAUACUGAAUAUAUACUGAAAAUAUACUGAAUGCGAGUACGCGUUGACAAUAAAUCGAAAACUAUAGAGGUGCUACCGUUAAAAUCGUUAAAAGUCAAACCCAAACACACAGACAACGCGAAGACCACGAAGCAAGUGGAUAGUGGAGUAGGCAAAAGUGAAAGAGAAAAUAGAGAGAACGCGAAACGUAACGCAACAAGGCAAUAAACAAAAAGUGUGUAUUAAAAAACCUCAAUAGCACCCACAUUACGACGAGAAAACUCAAAAGACAAAACCAUAGUUGAAUUGAGUGAGAAUAAUAUAUAUAUAUAUAUAUAGAGAGAGAGAGAGUAAAUACACCGCUACAAUGUCGGAAGAAGUAGAUCGCAACGAUCCCGAGCUGAAAUACCUUUCGGUGGAACGGAACCAAUACAAUGAUCCGGCCACACAGGCGGAAUGGACACAGAAGCGCCUGGUCUGGGUGCCCCACGAGAAUCAACAGAGACUAAAUUUUUGCCUGGGAUGACAAACAUUUUCUCAAUUCUAUAAUAUCCUUUCCUAGGGUAUGCAUUGUUGCUUGCAUUUUUCCGCAACAUGGAACGCGAUUAUUGCUUUCCGCCAAUGAAAAUUAUGGCAGGAAACGGCUGCGACAGAAUGUCAGGAUGCGGCGUGUUAAUAUUCCCCAAUUAUUGGUAAUAUUCACCCUAAGUCGAUGUCCAAAUAUAGUAAUUUAAGAACAUAAUUUAAAAGUAUGGAAUGGGACUCAUUGUUGUCAACCGGUUAUUACCGAUUCAAAUAAAUACUGAAAUAUACGGUAUUAUUUUCAAAAUAUACCGACGUAUUUUUGAUAUUCUGGCGAAUAUUACUAGCUAAAUAGAACCCUCAGGCCUGCCCACAUAAUUUUAUCCGACUA